RNAcentral lists this ribosomal RNA (253 nucleotides) under uncultured bacterium. RNAcentral's name for it is "partial 16S ribosomal RNA". It matches the Rfam family "Bacterial small subunit ribosomal RNA", at positions 524 to 776 of the family's 1533-position model. The record is from RNAcentral.
UACGGGGGGGGCAAGCGUUGUUCGGAAUUACUGGGCGUAAAGGGCUCGUAGGCGGCCAACUAAGUCAGACGUGAAAUCCCUCGGCUUAACCGGGGAACUGCGUCUGAUACUGGAUGGCUUGAGUGUGGGAGAGGGAUGCGGAAUUCCAGGUGUAGCGGUGAAAUGCGUAGAUAUCUGGAGGAACACCGGUGGCGAAGGCGGUGGUCUGGACCAAAACUGACGCUGAGGAGCGAAAGCCAGGGGAGCAAACGGG